CCAUCGCCAUGCUGGUAGUGUGCAUCCUGAGAGCAGGGCUGUCAGUGCUGCAAGGGGCCAGUGGCAGACAAGAGUCUUGGGACAGGCUGUGCUGGAGGGAGGACUUUAUUCCUGACAGAAAGAAUGGAGGGUGGACUGCCUCUCUAUGCACUCUCAGGAAGAAUUACGGUCUCAUAGAGACCAGACUGAUUGGAGCAAAGGAUUAUGAGGAAACACACCUUGAGUCUUUCACCUAGAGCUUGAUACCACAGCCCUGGCUGAUGGGAUGGUAGCUUGCUGACCUGUCAUGAAGGUUGGGAACAUGAUGCUGGAUGUGAAUUGCUUGUCUCUGGCCAGGAUGUUGUACAGAGCUCCAACACCUCACCUUAUGUUCUCCAUAGUGAAGGCAGCCUGGGUGAUGUGUAGCUGGCAUUUCACUUUGAAGGAAAUUACCUUGUUUUAUCCUUCAAAAUAUUCUACCUGCUGAGUGACUCAGUGAGUGACUCACCUGCUCUGCUUUCCCAGCAGCUCUUACCUCAGGGCUGUCUCAGAAGGUGUUUUUCUGGCAGGGCGUUCAUGGUCUCAUCACAGCCCUGAUGCUGCUGCUGGCAGGGAAAAUGAGGCAACAGCAAAGCUGAGUCAAACCUUGGGCAUCUGAAAGAGGAGGCAAACCCAAGGGAGUGCCACAUUCUUCCCACUGGCAUGAGAGUGUUUUUCCCAGAGCACUGAGAGCUCUGCCAUGGUUCUCUGGCCCUACAGUGCUCUCAGCAGUUUUCCUAAGCUCUGGGGCCCUUAAGGUCCCAGCCCUGCUCCUGCUGGGAGAGCCUGCAGAUGUGUUAUCAGAAGUGAUGUGCCCCUCUCCUCACAGAAGAAGUGGACAAGCUGUUGUUCAGAUCACCUCCUUUACCAGCUGGGGAAUUUUAUCCAGCCUGCCUUUGGCCACAGCUCUGACUGGGCAUGGCAUUAGCAAGGAACUGAAAUCAGUGUGAGAAUCUGCAUCCCUCUUUCUUGUCACUUUGAGUCACUAACCAUCAACAGCUUUCCCUAUUGCAGGAGUGGGAGAGAGCAGGAGAGCCCUAGCAGAUGGUUUUAGAGGAAAGCAUGCUCAGAAACUAAGCUCCUCAAGGGAUUUCAUUCUCUCUCUUACUGUGGAGGAGGAGACACCACAGAAGCCAGCCUGGGAAUUAAUGGUUAUGUAGCCUCAGACACGUGCUGACACCAAGCAGGGAUGCAAGUACUGUUAUUAACUUAGAUCUUAAUAAACUUGGUUUGCAAGGA
Long non-coding RNA from Vidua chalybeata, 1257 nucleotides. RefSeq lists it as uncharacterized. The transcript has 2 exons. Lineage: Eukaryota; Metazoa; Chordata; Aves; Passeriformes; Viduidae. The record is from RefSeq and is a predicted model, not a curated record.